GUACCGUGAGGGAAAGGCGAAAAGAACCCCGGCGAGGGGAGUGAAAAAGAACCUGAAACCGUGUACGUACAAGCAGUGGGAGCCCCACCACUAAGCCAGUGGUGAACUCCACAUACGCAUCCUUUGCUGAGGAUACGGUUAACGGAGCGAAAGCGACGUUCAACCGCAAAAGAAGCAGAGGGGGCUUAGUACCUGUGUGACUGCGUACCUUUUGUAUAAUGGGUCAGCGACUUAUAUUCUGUAGCAAGGUUAACCGAAUAGGGGAGCCGGAGGGAAACCGAGUCUUAAUUGGGCGUUAAGUUGCAGGGUAUAGACCCGAAACCCGGUGAUCUAGCCAUGGGCAGGUUGAAGGUUGGGUAACACUAACUGGAGGACCGAACCGACUAAUGUUGAAAAAUUAGCGGAUGACCUGUGGCUGGGGGUGAAAGGCCAAUCAAACCGGGAGAUAGCUGGUUCUCCCCGAAAGCUAUUUAGGUAGCGCCUCGUGAAUUCAUCUCCGGGGGUAGAGCACUGUUUCGGCUAGGGGGCCAUCCCGGCUUACCAACCCGAUGCAAACUGCGAAUACCGGAGAAUGUUAUCACGGGAGACACACGGCGGGUGCUAACGUCCGUCGUGAAGAGGGAAACAACCCAGACCGCCAGCUAAGGUCCCAAAGUCAUGGUUAAGUGGGAAACGAUGUGGGAAGGCCCAGACAGCCAGGAUGUUGGCUUAGAAGCAGCCAUCAUUUAAAGAAAGCGUAAUAGCUCACUGGUCGAGUCGGCCUGCGCGGAAGAUGUAACGGGGCUAAACCAUGCACCGAAGCUGCGGCAGCGAACGUAUCACUUAAAGCGAUUCAGCGGGUUACGAUUGACGGAGCGAAGCGACGUCAAAGCGUAUACAAAGCUGCGGCAGCGACGCUUAUGCGUUGUUGGGUAGGGGAGCGUUCUGUAAGCCUGUGAAGGUGGCCUGUGAGGGUUGCUGGAGGUAUCAGAAGUGCGAAUGCUGACAUAAGUAACGAUAAAGCGGGUGAAAAGCCCGCUCGCCGGAAGACCAAGGGUUCCUGUCCAACGUUAAUCGGGGCAGGGUGAGUCGACCCCUAAGGCGAGGCCGAAAGGCGUAGUCGAUGGGAAACGGGUUAAUAUUCCCGUACUUGGUGUUACUGCGAAGGGGGGACGGAGAAGGCUAUGUUGGCCGGGCGACGGUUGUCCCGGUUUAAGCGUGUAGGUGUGUGUUCCAGGUAAAUCCGGUUCACUUUAACACUGAGGCGUGAUGACGAGGCACUACGGUGCUGAAGUAACAAAUGCCCUGCUUCCAGGAAAAGCCUCUAAGCAUCAGGUAACAUCAAAUCGUACCCCAAACCGACACAGGUGGUCAGGUAGAGAAUACCAAGGCGCUUGAGAGAACUCGGGUGAAGGAACUAGGCAAAAUGGUGCCGUAACUUCGGGAGAAGGCACGCUGACACGUAGGUGAAGUGAUUUACUCACGGAGCUGAAGUCAGUCGAAGAUACCAGCUGGCUGCAACUGUUUAUUAAAAACACAGCACUGUGCAAACACGAAAGUGGACGUAUACGGUGUGACGCCUGCCCGGUGCCGGAAGGUUAAUUGAUGGGGUCAGCGCAAGCGAAGCUCCUGAUCGAAGCCCCGGUAAACGGCGGCCGUAACUAUAACGGUCCUAAGGUAGCGAAAUUCCUUGUCGGGUAAGUUCCGACCUGCACGAAUGGCGUAAUGAUGGCCAGGCUGUCUCCACCCGAGACUCAGUGAAAUUGAACUCGCUGUGAAGAUGCAGUGUACCCGCGGCAAGACGGAAAGACCCCGUGAACCUUUACUAUAGCUUGACACUGAACAUUGAGCCUUGAUGUGUAGGAUAGGUGGGAGGCUUUGAAGUGUGGACGCCAGUCUGCAUGGAGCCGACCUUGAAAUACCACCCUUUAAUGUUUGAUGUUCUAACGUGGACCCGUUACCCGGGUUGCGGACAGUGUCUGGUGGGUAGUUUGACUGGGGCGGUCUCCUCCUAAAGAGUAACGGAGGAGCACGAAGGUUGGCUAAUCCUGGUCGGACAUCAGGAGGUUAGUGCAAUGGCAUAAGCCAGCUUGACUGCGAGCGUGACGGCGCGAGCAGGUGCGAAAGCAGGUCAUAGUGAUCCGGUGGUUCUGAAUGGAAGGGCCAUCGCUCAACGGAUAAAAGGUACUCCGGGGAUAACAGGCUGAUACCGCCCAAGAGUUCAUAUCGACGGCGGUGUUUGGCACCUCGAUGUCGGCUCAUCACAUCCUGGGGCUGAAGUAGGUCCCAAGGGUAUGGCUGUUCGCCAUUUAAAGUGGUACGCGAGCUGGGUUUAGAACGUCGUGAGACAGUUCGGUCCCUAUCUGCCGUGGGCGCUGGAGAACUGAGGGGGGCUGCUCCUAGUACGAGAGGACCGGAGUGGACGCAUCACUGGUGUUCGGGUUGUCAUGCCAAUGGCACUGCCCGGUAGCUAAAUGCGGAAGAGAUAAGUGCUGAAAGCAUCUAAGCACGAAACUUGCCCCGAGAUGAGUUCUCCCUGAGACUUAAAGUCUCCUGAAGGAACGUUGAAGACGACGACGUUGAUAGGCCGGGUGUGUAAGCGCAGCGAUGCGUUGAGCUAACCGGUACUAAUGAACCGUGAGGCUUAACCCUACAACGCCGAAG
Molecule: ribosomal RNA, 2643 nt
Filed under: Salmonella enterica subsp. enterica serovar Dublin
Lineage: Bacteria; Pseudomonadati; Pseudomonadota; Gammaproteobacteria; Enterobacterales; Enterobacteriaceae
Description: bacterial LSU rRNA
Rfam family: Bacterial large subunit ribosomal RNA
Source: RNAcentral